Molecule: ribosomal RNA, 445 nt
Filed under: uncultured bacterium
Lineage: Bacteria
Description: partial 16S ribosomal RNA
Rfam family: Bacterial small subunit ribosomal RNA
Source: RNAcentral
GUGAGGAAUAUUGGACAAUGGGCGCAAGCCUGAUCCAGCCAUGCCGCGUGCAGGAAGACGCAUCUAUGGUGUGUAAACUGCUUUUGUACGGGAAGAAACACUCCCUCGUGAGGGAGCUUGACGGUACCGUAAGAAUAAGGAUCGGCUAACUCCGUGCCAGCAGCCGCGGUAAUACGGAGGAUCCAAGCGUUAUCCGGAAUCAUUGGGUUUAAAGCGUCCGUAGGCGGUUUAAUAAGUCAGUGGUGAAAGCCCAUCGCUCAACGAUGGAACGGCCAUUGAUACUGUUAGACUUGAAUUACAAGGAAGUAACUAGAAUAUGUAGUGUAGCGGUGAAAUGCUUAGAUAUUACAUGGAAUACCAAUUGCGAAGGCAGGUUACUACUUGUGGAUUGACGCUGAUGGACGAAAGCGUGGGGAGCGAACAGGAUUAGAUACCCGAGUAGUCC